Molecule: ribosomal RNA, 491 nt
Filed under: uncultured bacterium
Lineage: Bacteria
Description: partial 16S ribosomal RNA
Rfam family: Bacterial small subunit ribosomal RNA
Source: RNAcentral
UUGAACGCUGGCGGCAUGCUUUACACAUGCAAGUCGAACGGUAACAGGCCUUCGGGUGCUGACGAGUGGCGAACGGGUGAGUAAUGCAUCGGAACGUGCCCAGAGGUGGGGGAUAACGCAGCGAAAGCUGUGCUAAUACCGCAUGUGAUCUGAGGAUGAAAGCGGGGGACCAAGCAGCAAUGUUUGGCCUCGCGCCUCUGGAGCGGCCGAUGUCAGAUUAGGUAGUUGGUGGGGUAAAGGCCUACCAAGCCGACGAUCUGUAGCUGGUCUGAGAGGACGACCAGCCACACUGGGACUGAGACACGGCCCAGACUCCUACGGGAGGCAGCAGUGGGGAAUUUUGGACAAUGGGCGCGAGCCUGAUCCAGCAAUGCCGCGUGCGGGAAGAAGGCCUUCGGGUUGUAAACCGCUUUUGUACGGAACGAAAAGGCUCUGGCUAAUACCUGGGGCUGAUGACGGUACCGUAAGAAUAAGCACCGGCUAACUACGUG